This 360-nucleotide ribosomal RNA is filed under the name Triticum aestivum (bread wheat). RNAcentral describes it as "partial small subunit ribosomal RNA". The record is from RNAcentral. Lineage: Eukaryota; Viridiplantae; Streptophyta; Magnoliopsida; Poales; Poaceae.
AUGAACCGAUGCAAGUCAAAGAAAGAUUGGCCGGUGCUGCCGGCUGGCAUCAAGUUCAAUCCCACGGAUCAAGAGCUGAUCGAGCACCUUGAGGCCAAAGUGAGUGCUGACAGCACAAGAUCUCACCCUCUCAUCGAUCUGUUCAUACCAACCAUCAAUAGCGAGCACGGCAUAUGCUACACCCAUCCUGAGAAACUUCUAGGUAUCACACUGAGUGGCCUAAGCAAGCAUUUCUUCCAGCGCAAUUCCAGGGCAUUCAAAAGAGGCACGUGGAUGCAUCGCAAGAUACAAUCGGAGUGCGGCAUGCACGCGAUGUGGCACAAGACCGGCAAUACCUUGCCGGUGAUGGUCAACGGCUGA